This 651-nucleotide ribosomal RNA is filed under the name Pseudomonas flexibilis. Its description in RNAcentral is "bacterial SSU rRNA". It matches the Rfam family "Bacterial small subunit ribosomal RNA", at positions 89 to 736 of the family's 1533-position model. The record is from RNAcentral. Lineage: Bacteria; Pseudomonadati; Pseudomonadota; Gammaproteobacteria; Pseudomonadales; Pseudomonadaceae.
GAUUCAGCGGCGGACGGGUGAGUAAUGCCUAGGAAUCUGCCCGAUAGUGGGGGAUAACGUUCCGAAAGGAACGCUAAUACCGCAUACGUCCUACGGGAGAAAGCGGGGGAUCUUCGGACCUCGCGCUAUCGGAUGAGCCUAGGUCGGAUUAGCUAGUUGGUGAGGUAAAGGCUCACCAAGGCGACGAUCCGUAGCUGGUCUGAGAGGAUGAUCAGCCACACUGGAACUGAGACACGGUCCAGACUCCUACGGGAGGCAGCAGUGGGGAAUAUUGGACAAUGGGCGAAAGCCUGAUCCAGCCAUGCCGCGUGUGUGAAGAAGGUCUUCGGAUUGUAAAGCACUUUAAGUUGGGAGGAAGGGUUGUAACCUAAUACGUUGCAACUUUGACGUUACCGACAGAAUAAGCACCGGCUAACUUCGUGCCAGCAGCCGCGGUAAUACGAAGGGUGCAAGCGUUAAUCGGAAUUACUGGGCGUAAAGCGCGCGUAGGUGGUUUGAUAAGUUGGAUGUGAAAGCCCCGGGCUCAACCUGGGAAUUGCAUCCAAAACUGUCUGACUAGAGUACGGUAGAGGGUAGUGGAAUUUCCUGUGUAGCGGUGAAAUGCGUAGAUAUAGGAAGGAACACCAGUGGCGAAGGCGACUACCUGGACUG